This 611-nucleotide ribosomal RNA is filed under the name uncultured bacterium. RNAcentral describes it as "bacterial SSU rRNA". The stretch from base 1 to 513 matches the Rfam family "Bacterial small subunit ribosomal RNA", at positions 338 to 873 of the family's 1533-position model. The record is from RNAcentral.
CCUACGGGAGGCAGCAGUGGGGAAUCUUGCGCAAUGGGCGAAAGCCUGACGCAGCCAUGCCGCGUGAAUGAUGAAGGUCUUAGGAUUGUAAAAUUCUUUCACCGGGGACGAUAAUGACGGUACCCGGAGAAGAAGCCCCGGCUAACUUCGUGCCAGCAGCCGCGGUAAUACGAAGGGGGCUAGCGUUGCUCGGAAUUACUGGGCGUAAAGGGAGCGUAGGCGGACAUUUAAGUCAGGGGUGAAAUCCCGGGGCUCAACCUCGGAAUUGCCUUUGAUACUGGGUGUCUUGAGUAUGAGAGAGGUGUGUGGAACUCCGAGUGUAGAGGUGAAAUUCGUAGAUAUUCGGAAGAACACCAGUGGCGAAGGCGACACACUGGCUCAUUACUGACGCUGAGGCUCGAAAGCGUGGGGAGCAAACAGGAUUAGAUACCCUGGUAGUCCACGCCGUAAACGAUGAUUGCUAGUUGUCGGGAUGCANGNAUUCGUGCGCNGCUACGACAUAAGACAUCCGCCGUCGGGAGGUACGGUCGCGAAGAAGUUAAACUAACUAAGUAGUUAAGUUAGUACGGUUCGUUGAGACGUUCGCCGACGGACGACGACGAGGGAGGAGG